CCUACGGGAGGCAGCAGUGAGGAAUAUUGGUCAAUGGACGCAAGUCUGAACCAGCCAUGCCGCGUGCAGGAAGACGGCUCUAUGAGUUGUAAACUGCUUUUGUACGGGGGUAAACGCAGAUACGCGUAUCUGUCUGAAAGUAUCCUACGAAUGAGGAUCCGCGAACUCCGUACCAGCAGCCGCGGUAAUACGGAGGAUUCAAGCGUUAUCCGGAUUUAUUGGGUUUAAAGGGUGCGUAGGCGGUCGGAUAAGUUAGAGGUGAAAUCCCGAGGCUCAACCUCGGAAUUGCCUCUGAUACUGGUCGGCGAGAGAGUAGUUGCGGUAGGCGGAAUGUAUGGUGUAGCGGUGAAAUGCUUAGAGAUCAGACAGAACACCGAUUGCGAAGGCAGCUUACCAGGCUACUUCUGACGUUGAGGCACGAAAGCGUGGGGAGCAAACAGGAUUAGAUACCCGGGUAGUC
This 460-nucleotide ribosomal RNA is filed under the name uncultured bacterium. RNAcentral describes it as "partial 16S ribosomal RNA". It matches the Rfam family "Bacterial small subunit ribosomal RNA", at positions 338 to 795 of the family's 1533-position model. The record is from RNAcentral.